Molecule: ribosomal RNA, 253 nt
Filed under: uncultured bacterium
Lineage: Bacteria
Description: partial 16S ribosomal RNA
Rfam family: Bacterial small subunit ribosomal RNA
Source: RNAcentral
UACGUAGGGUGCAAGCGUUAUCCGGAAUUAUUGGGCGUAAAGAGCUCGUAGGCGGUUUGUCGCGUCUGCUGUGAAAACCCGAGGCUCAACCUCGGGCCUGCAGUGGGUACGGGCAGACUAGAGUGCGGUAGGGGAGAUUGGAAUUCCUGGUGUAGCGGUGAAAUGCGCAGAUAUCAGGAGGAACACCGGUGGCGAAGGCGGCACGCUGGACCCUCUCUGACGCUGAGGCGCGAAAGCCAGGGGAGCGAACGGG